GAAGGCAUAUUUGGCAUGCGUCCUUGUCAUUUUGAUAUCUUUCAUUUUGAUUGGGGUCGUCCAAUGCAAAAAUAAGUCGCCCAGCAAAGAAAAAAGGCCUAAUGGGUCAAGAGGGCAAACGGAUUUGCGCAGGAAAACGAUAAUCAGAUGCUGUGGCAAACAAUCUUGCUUCAAUGUGGAAAAAAAGACCAAAACUUCCACCAGGGCAAAAAUAAACUCGACCAACUCAAAGCUAACCUCCGCCCAAACUACGCUGCAAGAAAUCAUUUCCACGGAAUACAUCGUUUCAGAGGAUUCUGCAACAAUUCCAAAUGAGGCGCCAACAGAAGCAAUAACCGAAGCGACAACCACAUUGCAAUCAGAAACUACCCCACCUGUUGCUCCCCCGUCUGAACCUACGACCCAAAAAUUAUCCGACCCAAUUACGUCAUCCGUCUUAAUUUCGAGUCUUCCAACUGC
Neocloeon triangulifer is the source of this 459-nucleotide long non-coding RNA. RefSeq lists it as uncharacterized. The record is from RefSeq and is a predicted model, not a curated record. The transcript has 4 exons. NCBI's taxonomy places the organism in Eukaryota, Metazoa, Arthropoda, Insecta, Ephemeroptera, Baetidae.